This 1396-nucleotide ribosomal RNA is filed under the name metagenome. Its description in RNAcentral is "bacterial LSU rRNA". It matches the Rfam family "Bacterial large subunit ribosomal RNA", at positions 1506 to 2925 of the family's 2925-position model. The record is from RNAcentral.
CCAGGGGCAAGCACAGGAGGGGUACGGCUGGAAAAACCGCCGUGCAACCCAAAGGUGUGACGCAUACCGAACUAAAGUAGGGAAAUGUGUGAGCCGGCUGCCGAGAAAAGCCGCUAUUGUUUGUACUGUACCCGUACCGUAAACCGACACAGGUGGAUGAGGAGAGAAUCCUAAGGCCGACGGAAGAAGCAUUGCUAAGGAACUCGGCAAAAUGACCCUGUAACUUCGGGAGAAAGGGUGCCUCGAAAGAGGCCGCAGAGAAUAGGCCCAAGCAACUGUUUAGCAAAAACACAGGUCUAUGCAAAACCGCAAGGUGAAGUAUAUGGGCUGACGCCUGCCCGGUGCUGGAAGGUUAAGGGGAGAUGUCAGGAGACGAAGCAUCGAACUUAAGCCCCAGUAAACGGCGGCCGUAACAAUAACGGUCCUAAGGUAGCGAAAUUCCUUGUCGGGUAAGUUCCGACCCGCACGAAAGGCGUAAUGAUUUGGGCGCUGUCUCGGCAAUGCAUCCGGUGAAAUUGAAGUGCCAGUGAAGAUGCUGGCUACCCGCGCCAGGACGGAAAGACCCCAUGGAGCUUUACUCCAGCUUGAUACUGGGAUUCGGUAUUGUAUGUACAGGAUAGGUGGGAGGCUGAGAAAUGGUGACGCCAGUCGCCAUGGAGCCGCUGUUGGGAUACCACCCUUGCAGUACAGGAUUUCCAACCAGCAGCCGUGAUCCGGCUGGGGGACAAUGUCAGGUGGGGAGUUUGACUGGGGCGGUCGCCUCCGAAAGGGUAUCGGAGGCGCUCAAAGGUUCCCUCAGAAUGGUCGGAAACCAUUCGAAGAGUGCAAAGGCAGAAGGGAGCUUGACUGCGACACCGACGGGUGGGGCAGGUACGAAAGUAGGACUUAGUGAUCCGGUGGUAUUAAGUGGGAAUGCCAUCGCUCAACGGAUAAAAGCUACCCUGGGGAUAACAGGCUUAUCACUCCCAAGAGUUCACAUCGACGGAGUGGUUUGGCACCCCGAUGUCGGCUCAUCGCAUCCUGGGGCUGUAGUAGGUCCCAAGGGUUGGGCUGUUCGCCCAUUAAAGCGGUACGCGAGCUGGGUUCAGAACGUCGUGAGACAGUUCGGUCCCUAUCCGGCGUGGGCGUAGGAUAUUUGAGAGGAGCUGACCUUAGUACGAGAGGAUCGGGUUGGACUGACCUCUGGUGCACCGGUUGUCAUGCCAAUGGCACAGCCGGGUAGCCAAGUCGGGAAGGGAUAAACGCUGAAGGCAUCUAAGCGUGAAGCCCCCCUCAAGAUGAGAUAUCCCCCGCAUAAGCGGUAAGACCCCUUGAAGACGACGAGGUAGAUAGGGCAGAGGUGAAAGUGCAGUAAUGUAUGGAGCUGACUGCUACUAAUAGGUCGAAGGCUUAACAG